UACAGAGGGGGCAAGCGUUGUUCGGAAUUACUGGGCGUAAAGGGCGCGUAGGCGGCCUGUUAAGUCGGACGUGAAAUCCCUCGGCUCAACCGGGGAACUGCGUCCGAUACUGGCGGGCUUGAAUUCGGGAGAGGGAUGUGGAAUUCCAGGUGUAGCGGUGAAAUGCGUAGAUAUCUGGAGGAACACCGGUGGCGAAGGCGGCAUCCUGGACCGACAUUGACGCUGAGGCGCGAAAGCCAGGGGAGCAAACAGG
RNAcentral lists this ribosomal RNA (253 nucleotides) under uncultured bacterium. RNAcentral's name for it is "partial 16S ribosomal RNA". It matches the Rfam family "Bacterial small subunit ribosomal RNA", at positions 524 to 776 of the family's 1533-position model. The record is from RNAcentral.